Molecule: transfer RNA, 71 nt
Filed under: Loxodonta africana (African savanna elephant)
Lineage: Eukaryota; Metazoa; Chordata; Mammalia; Proboscidea; Elephantidae
Rfam family: tRNA
About the family: Transfer RNA (tRNA) molecules are approximately 80 nucleotides in length. Their secondary structure includes four short double-helical elements and three loops (D, anti-codon, and T loops).
Source: Rfam by way of RNAcentral
GCAGUGGUGGUUCAGUGACAGAAUUCCCACCUUUCAUGCACAAGACCCAGGUUCGACUCCUGGCUAGUGCA